This 73-nucleotide transfer RNA is filed under the name Loxodonta africana (African savanna elephant). It matches the Rfam family "tRNA". From Rfam's summary of the family: Transfer RNA (tRNA) molecules are approximately 80 nucleotides in length. Their secondary structure includes four short double-helical elements and three loops (D, anti-codon, and T loops). The record is from Rfam by way of RNAcentral. Lineage: Eukaryota; Metazoa; Chordata; Mammalia; Proboscidea; Elephantidae.
CCCUGGGUGAUUUAAUGGUUAAUAUGCUUGACUGCUAACUGAAAGAUUGGUGGUUCAAGUCCACCCAUAGGCA